UGCUUCUCCCUGUUUCUUCUACCACUUCUUUAUUGAUUUCUGUUCCUUUGCUGCCUCUAUCUAAACCCAACCCUCUAUAUACCUACUUCUCUUCUUCUAUCAUCAUUUCUACUGUGUCUCACUUAUGUAAACCCCUCACAGAGUAAACACAAUUCUUAAUCCUUUCUUUGCAAAACUGCAGCCCUGUCUGCUUGUUUUACCACAGAUAUUCAAACUGAGCAUCAACUAUUAACUACAGUGACUUCUCUAAUCUAGCUUACCGCACAAAUGAGGGAAAACCAUGGGUACUUCCAGUUGUUCACAAAGUAGAACUACAGAUUGCUUCUGAUCCUACCUUGAAUCAUGAAUACUUACCUAUAUUAGGUUUCCCUGACUUUCGAUCUUCUGCCAUCCGGUU
This is a long non-coding RNA of Octopus sinensis (East Asian common octopus), 397 nucleotides long. RefSeq lists it as uncharacterized. The transcript has 3 exons. NCBI's taxonomy places the organism in Eukaryota, Metazoa, Mollusca, Cephalopoda, Octopoda, Octopodidae. The record is from RefSeq and is a predicted model, not a curated record.